CACGUGGGUAACCUGCCCAAGAGACUGGGAUAACACCUGGAAACAGAUGCUAAUACCGGAUAACAACACUAGACGCAUGUCUAGAGUUUGAAAGAUGGUUCUGCUAUCACUCUUGGAUGGACCUGCGGUGCAUUAGCUAGUUGGUAAGGUAACGGCUUACCAAGGCAAUGAUGCAUAGCCGAGUUGAGAGACUGAUCGGCCACAUUGGGACUGAGACACGGCCCAAACUCCUACGGGAGGCAGCAGUAGGGAAUCUUCCACAAUGGACGAAAGUCUGAUGGAGCAACGCCGCGUGAGUGAAGAAGGGUUUCGGCUCGUAAAGCUCUGUUGGUAGUGAAGAAAGAUAGAGGUAGUAACUGGCCUUUAUUUGACGGUAAUUACUUAGAAAGUCACGGCUAACUACGUGCCAGCAGCCGCGGUAAUACGUAGGUGGCAAGCGUUGUCCGGAUUUAUUGGGCGUAAAGCGAGUGCAGGCGGUUCAAUAAGUCUGAUGUGAAAGCCUUCGGCUCAACCGGAGAAUUGCAUCAGAAACUGUUGAACUUGAGUGCAGAAGAGGAGAGUGGAACUCCAUGUGUAGCGGUGGAAUGCGUAGAUAUAUGGAAGAACACCAGUGGCGAAGGCGGCUCUCUGGUCUGCAACUGACGCUGAGGCUCGAAAGCAUGGGUAGCGAACAGGAUUAGAUACCCUGGUAGUCCAUGCCGUAAACGAUGAGUGCUAAGUGUUG
This 724-nucleotide ribosomal RNA is filed under the name uncultured bacterium. RNAcentral describes it as "bacterial SSU rRNA". It matches the Rfam family "Bacterial small subunit ribosomal RNA", at positions 114 to 825 of the family's 1533-position model. The record is from RNAcentral.